Long non-coding RNA from Ipomoea triloba (trilobed morning glory), 586 nucleotides. RefSeq lists it as uncharacterized. The record is from RefSeq and is a predicted model, not a curated record. Lineage: Eukaryota; Viridiplantae; Streptophyta; Magnoliopsida; Solanales; Convolvulaceae. The transcript is spliced from 2 exons.
GAGGGACUGUUAAGUCUUUUUGUAAUUUUGUUAAUUUAUUACCAUUUUAAAUUAGGUGUUCUUUUUUAAGUUGUUUCCUUAUGUGAUUGCUCUACACAUCCGUUUAUGUCUCCCGUUUCUCUCCUCUCUGCGAAUCCCAAUCGUCUCCGGCUUUAUUUCUCCUUGCGAAACCAUACGCCUUCAGUCUGUGCAUGCCAACAAGCUCCAUGGUUGGUUCUUCUUCCAGGCGAUCCAAGCGACAUAAGGAGGAGUUCGUUGGUGGUGGUCCAGGGAACAAUGUUGAAGUUAAUCAAAAUGCGAUGGUAGAUAGUCCGUCUUCUGAUGAUUUUGCAUCUCCUCCGGUUGUCUUGCCUCCUCGUGUCCGUAUGUGUGAAAUGGCUCCUAAUUUCUUUACUCGUUUUCGUGUUCAAAAUAACACACACAUCUACCACUGAUGUCGCACACGUGUUGUAAUUACACCGUUUCUUUAGUUGAAUGCACUCACCAUCUACCUUUUACGCACACACUUACAUGUUAGUAACAAAAACCAAUGACUUCUUAAUACAGGGUUACUCAUUUAUUAAAUUCGGUAAAAUUUUUAUCUCCA